This is a long non-coding RNA of Hylaeus volcanicus, 910 nucleotides long. RefSeq lists it as uncharacterized. NCBI's taxonomy places the organism in Eukaryota, Metazoa, Arthropoda, Insecta, Hymenoptera, Colletidae. The record is from RefSeq and is a predicted model, not a curated record. The transcript has 3 exons.
AAAAAAUAUUGCCAUGACGGUCGCGAGGUACGGGAUUAGUAUCACUGAGUAAUGUUUGAAAAAGAGAUUCUGUUCAUUAAUGUGAAAAAAUGACGAGGUGUUGUAAAUUUUUUGGCAUUACGUGGUUGUUGAGUCAAUCCGCUACGAAAUGUCAACAAAAUUUCGUGAAUCUAUGUAACGCGUGUUCACUACAUCGUAGUUAUAUUAACCUAAAACUUGAUCCGAAAUUUUUUUUUUUUCUUCCUCGAAAAGCGCACGUUCAUUUAUCAAUUUUUGUUUUUCCUUAGAAACCAAAAGGAAUCAAUUACAAUCAUAUUUACAGAAAAUAGCAUACCAUUGAAAUAUUUCUUUGAGCAAUUUCUUUUUCUUGAGCAAUUGCUUGUUUGUCUUCAGCUAAACGUUUCCGUGCUUCUUGUCUUUCCAGUGCCAUUUGUUUAAUAGAUAACGAUAAAUCAUUUUCAACGCGCCGUCUCUCUUCCUAAAUUGCUGACUAUUUUCAUCAGUUUAAACAUAGUAAUAGUUUUACAUGAAUACGCAUGAUUUCUAAGCGUUUUUCAGAUAAAAAAGACUCGUAAAGUCUUUUUCUUUCUUCUUGAUACUCUUUUUUCUCUUCCAACAAGAGAAAUCGUUGAUGAUUUAGUUCACUUUCCGUAGUUUUUAACCAGUCAAAAAAGAUACGUCGCAUAUCUCCUACCAUCAUGUCAAAUGAGUCUUGCGUGUCUAAAAGUGACUUGACGCAAUUUCCUUCGACAGGCACUUUUUCAUUCGUUUCAUUUGGUGACUCGUUUACUUUGAAAGUCAUGAGUAGAAAGACAAUGUACGUGUACUUUUGGAUAUAAUUGUCUGUAUAAUUUUAAAUAAGACACUUUGCAAAAGCAAUGUCGAAUAAGCUGAAAGUACAGAUUCAUUU